UGACAUUCAAGCAUUCCACCAUUACACCUCCUUCGCCAUGGGUGGACACUGGAGCUUUUCCCAUGGGUGGACCCUGGGGCCUUCGUCAUGGGUGGACCCUGGGGCCUUCGUCAUGGGUGGACACUGGGGCUUUUCCCAUGGGUGGACCCUGGGGUCUUCUUCAUGGGUGGACCCUGGGGCCUUCGUCAUGGGUGGACACUGGGGCUUUUCCCAUGGGUGGACCCUGGGGCCUUCAUCAUGGGUGGACCCUGGGGCCUUCAUCAUGGGUGGACCCUGGGGCCUUUCCCAUGGGUGGACACUGGGGCCUUCGUCAUGGGUGGACCCUGGGGCCUUCGUCAUGGGUGGACACUGGGGCUUUUCCCAUGGGUGGACCCUGGGGCCUUCAUCAUGGGUGGACCCUGGGGCCUUCGUCAUGGGUGGACCCUGGGGCCUUUCCCAUGGGUGGACACUGGGGCCUUCCCCAUGGGUGGACACUGGGGCCUUUCCCAUGGGUGGACACUGGGGCCUUCGUCAUGGGUGGACCCUGGGGCCUUCGCCAUGGGUGGACCCUGGGGCCUUCGCCAUGGGUGGACCCUGGGGCCUUCGUCAUGGGUGCUCUGGGGCCUUUCCCAUGGGUGGACACUGGGGCUUUUCCCAUCGGUGGACAAAGGGGCUUGACACUGGGGCUUUUCCCAUGGGUGGACACUGGGGCUUGACACUGGGGCCUUUCCCAUGGGUGGACACUGGGGCUUUUCCCAUGGGUGGACACUGGGGCCUUAACCAUGGGUGGACACUGGGGCCUUUCCCAUGGGUGGACACUGGGGCCUUCACCAUGGGUGGACACUGGGUCUUUUCUCAUGGGUGGACACUGGGGCCUUCGCCAUGGGUGGACACUGGGGCUUUUCCCAUGGGUGGACACUGGGGCUUUUCCCAUGGGUGGACACUGGGGCCUUUCACAUGGGUGGACACUGGGGCCUCCAUGUGUAACUCUGUGUUGUUGUCUGUGUCACACUGCUUUGCUUUAUCUUGGCCAGGUUGCAGUUGUAAAUGAGAACUUGUUCUCAAC
Molecule: long non-coding RNA, 1045 nt
Filed under: Oncorhynchus kisutch (coho salmon)
Lineage: Eukaryota; Metazoa; Chordata; Actinopteri; Salmoniformes; Salmonidae
Description: lncRNA (ENSOKIG00005043555.1)
Source: RNAcentral